GAUGAACGCUGGCGGCGUGCCUAAUACAUGCAAGUCGAGCGAACGGACGAGAAGCUUGCUUUUCUGAUGUUAGCGGCGGACGGGUGAGUAACACGUGGAUAACCUACCUAUAAGACUGGGAUAACUUCGGGAAACCGGAGCUAAUACCGGAUAAUAUUUUGAACCGCAUGGUUCAAAAGUGAAAGACGGUCCUGCUGUCACUUAUAGAUGGAUCCGCGCUGCAUUAGCUAGUUGGUAAGGUAACGGCUUACCAAGGCAACGAUGCAUAGCCGACCUGAGAGGGUGAUCGGCCACACUGGAACUGAGACACGGUCCAGACUCCUACGGGAGGCAGCAGUAGGGAAUCUUCCGCAAUGGGCGAAAGCCUGACGGAGCAACGCCGCGUGAGUGAUGAAGGUCUUCGGAUCGUAAAACUCUGUUAUUAGGGAAGAACAUAUGUGUAAGUAACUGUGCACAUCUUGACGGUACCUAAUCAGAAAGCCACGGCUAACUACGUG
RNAcentral lists this ribosomal RNA (497 nucleotides) under uncultured bacterium. RNAcentral describes it as "partial 16S ribosomal RNA". It matches the Rfam family "Bacterial small subunit ribosomal RNA", at positions 28 to 507 of the family's 1533-position model. The record is from RNAcentral.